CGGUCCGCCUUCGCCGGAGACGGCGUAAGGGGAGGAAGCCCGGUGCGACUCCGGCGCGGUCCCGCCACUGUGAACCCGGCCCGGUGGCCGGGUGAGCCAGGAACUCCCGCCG
RNAcentral lists this non-coding RNA (112 nucleotides) under Streptomyces clavuligerus. Lineage: Bacteria; Bacillati; Actinomycetota; Actinomycetes; Kitasatosporales; Streptomycetaceae. The record is from RNAcentral.